GUAAAAGGAAGAUAAACUACACAGUGUGUAAAUAAAUUAAACAGAAUGCAUGAAUUAUGAAUAAUCCAGUGUUAUGGGCACAUUCUGUUUUCAGGAGUUAAGAAGUAAUUUGGUGUUCUCAUGUGAGUUCAUCCCUUUCCACAAGGAACCAAAUAAUCAGGAACAAUUAGACAAAUUCAAAACCUGCUUCAAUCUUCUGUUAAGCAGGUAAAAUACUGGUGUUAAAGGGGUUAAGGGUUUAAAAACUUCAUGAGAGAUAGUGUUUCAAUAUUUUAAAGACAAUUUUGAACCUUUAAAAUAUUUAGCUGAUGCCUGUAUGUCCCUUUUUAAAACAAUCUCCCAGAAGAAACAUCUGUUGAAGAUAUUUUGGUUCAACUUUGAAAGUGUGUUACUGACAUCUAGUGGGAAACAAAAAUCUGGACACAUGAAUCUGGAACGGAGUACACCAACACUAUGAUCCAUUCUCUGUAAUUAAGGAAAUAACAACUGUUUCUAAAAGAAAAUAAACCAGAUGACGGAAACACCAACCAUCUGUAAAAUGUUUUUAAAAAGAUUUAAAGAAAUUAUUAGUGCAUUAGUGCAAUUAAUUAUUAAUGCAUUUAUUUAAAAAAAAAAGAAAGAAAAAGGGAUUUUUAAGGAGAAAAUUUAGGUAAAGUAAAGGAAUUGUGUACUAUGUGCAACAUGAAGUAAACAUAUGAAGUUAAUGCUGCUGUUUAACACACAGUAGUUAAACUGCUGAGAACUUGGAUUAGCUGUUAUUAUCACCACCCUCUCACAGUGAAGCGUUUUGGAGGCUGUAAUUUGACCUUGGAUCUUAAUGGUUGUGUGACAAUAGUGCCCCGUCCCACUGGCCUGUCUGCCCCUCUGCUGUGUCUAUUUAUAAUGUCCAGACACAGUGCAGAGGUUAUUCAGAGGUGCCAGUGAACGCAAGCCGACAGAAGGGUGAGAAUAUUUACUGCUAUUGUUCCAGCUGUUAACUAAAAACUUUAACCUGAAUAUAUAAUUUCACUUUUUAACCAUGCACUUCAGAUUUUCAUGUCACAACUAAUCCCCCUGUGAACUUUUUCCCUCUCAAAAUGUGAAAAAUGUUUUUGUGGAAAUGGCUUUUGUUGUACAGUGUGACGAGCAAAUAUGUUUUUUUACUUUAUGCAUUUUAACAGCUUGUCCAGUUUCAACUCUUCUUAAAUGUUUAUACGCUUCUGCUCGUCAACCAAAAGGUAAAUAAAAUCACAAAAACAAUAAAUUACUGGAAAAUAUUCUUAAAAUCCUCAAUUAACCAAACUAUAUUUCUUCUACUGUCACUAUUUUCUGUGUUAUUUUAUUUUUUUUUCUCUUAAGGUCAAAGGCAGAAAGAUGCCAGCAGGCUAUCAUGAGCAUUGCAACAAGUGCUACAAUGUCUUCUGUCAAGUCCCAGUGAGGAUUUCUGUUUCAUGCAUGGUCAUCAGCUGUCCUAAAAACUGCGGUGCCACCUUUCAUAUGUGCAAACUAGAGGAGCACCAGCUCCUCUGUCCUAAGGAGGUGGUCCCCUGCCUCAAUGUUGACUAUGGCUGUCCUCUGACCAUGCUGCGCCACAAGAUGGCCAAACACAUAGAGGUCUGUCCUGCCAGCGUGGUCUGCUGCUCUCAAGAGUGGAACCGCUGGCCUGUUUCUGAAACUGAUAUGACCUUUUACAGAAAAGUUUCUGAAAAUCUUCAGUUAAACACAGAGUUGAACCUCGACGUUGCCCUGGCUCUCAGGGAUCAAGCUCAACUGUUUCAGGCUAUCAAAAUGAAGAACAUAUUUCCUGAGCUGAUGAUGGGGGAACCUGCCCUUGAGCAUAUUUCUGCUGGAGUCUACACUCCUGUAGAGGAGGCAUCCUCUUCUUCAGGCUGCAGUGAAUUUACAGAGAAUGGCUGUGCGAUGGAGGAGAAAGAACUGUGUGAAGAGGAAAGAAAUGCUUUGGCAAAGAGCAUAGAUGUGGCAAGUGUUCAAAAUUACAGCUCCUGGGAGAAAAUAUUCAGGAAGGAAAAGGAAGGAUGCAACGAAACAGUGAAAAAUCUGAAUAAGGAGGGAAAGGGGAAAGAAAAGCAAGAGCAAGAAUUAUGGAACUGUCAGGAGGAGAAAAAAGACUCACAUCAGGAGGAAGAAAAUGCUGUUUCUGGCAGAAACACAGGUGGUGCAACUGGCCUUGCACCAUGGCAGGAUGGGGUGCUGGAAAGGUUAGGCAAUGAAGUCAAUAUUGGAGAAUACAAUAUGUACCUGGUACACCAUGGGACGAUGCUGAUUAACUUUGGCCAACUUGCUGCAUGCACACCGAGGGAGAAAGACUUUGUUUAUGGGAAUCUAGAGCCAAUUGAGGUUAAAACUGUUCGCACAUUUAAUGUUCCUACGAGCUAUCAAGCAAAGCGUAGUCUCCUGAAGGACCCUUCCCACAGGGCCACCACCGCACACCAGUGUGUGGACACAACAGAUUUGGGCGAGUCAGUUGAAGAUCUUCCAAAAUCUGAAGAGGUUGGCUCAACACUUCUGUGCUCCCUGGAAAAGGAACUGAAGGGACAUUCAAUCUCAGAGAGCUCCUGGACAGAUGGCCUUUAUGUCGACAUAGGAACACAAACAUACGACUUCCCCUCUGCUCCAUUCAAAGCAGAUGCAUCCUUAGCUGAUGUCAUUGCAAGCAAACCGCAUGGCCUUUAUGUACAUGUAGACACAGAAUCUGUCACCAGACGACAUAACAAAACAAGUUCAGCCUUCAGCUUCAUUUGUGGCAGCUUCUUCCGCCGUGAUGAGUACCGCUCACAUUUCAGGAAUGCUCAUUGUGACAUACAGGCCUCUCUGAAUGGCUGGUUCCAGCAGCGCUGCCCCUUAGCAUACCUCGGCUGCACUUUCACUCAGAUAAGGUUUCACCCUGCAGGUCAAGAAGCAAUAAUCAAAUUCUGCCAAGAUGUCAGCGCCUUUGUACUUCAGCCACUUGUCCCUUCAUCUCUCUGUGAAGGUGGGGAAAGCUUCAGCCCUCAGGAAAACACAGUGCAAAAUUGUGAUGCCCUGAGCAGGCUGCCCCUGGAGGUCCUUCAGCACAUAGCUGGUUACCUUGAUAGUUUCACAUUGUCUCAGCUGUCCCAGGUUUCCCUCCAGAUGAGAGCAGUGUGUGCCACAUUGUUGCAGGAGAGAGGAAUGGUCUCCCUUGAAUGGCAGAAAAAGACAUAUUCACAUGGGGGGAGUUCCUGGAAAUGUCAGAAAAAAGCAAGUAUCCUUCAGAUUAUUUUAAUUACUUUUUUUUUUGUUUGUUUUUUAAACAAAUUUCAUUAAUGAAUUUCAAAUCAAUCCGGUUCACUGUGCUGCAAAAGGACAAAAAAAAUACUUUAUUCCAUGUCUACGUUUUUAUCACCAGCACUAUUUUGACUCAAACUUGUAAGCUACAAGUGGAAAGUAAACACAAGGCUAAACCCCUACGUUAAACCCCUUUAGUUUCUGUCACCAUGCUGUUAUCUGUCAUUGGAAAAUUUCAGUCAUUCACGCAGCAUGGCAGCUGCUGCAUUGUAAACACUCUCCAGACUUCGAAAAGUCCUCCCUAACCAUGUUAAAAGUCACUCAAAGCUAUGUUGGCAACAUUUAAAGGCUUCCCACUGAAUCAUUCACAUAACCGCCUACAUUUUCUAGUCCAUCCAGGGUCAACUGCUUUUAGGACUAGGCACCAAAAUGGAUGAAGGUGAUUUUUUUGUUUUUUUCUUUCUUUCUUUUCCUUCCAGACUAUCAUCUAGAUUUGGUUCUUUGGCAGAAAAUAAAUAAAUAAUAAAUAAAAGCCAAAAAUCAAAAAGACAAGCACUGCCCUAGUUUCCCCCAGUUCCUCUGUAAUAUUAUAGAAGCUGUUCAUGAAGUCCAAUUAUUCAAUUCUGACUCACAAUCAGCAUUUAGCCUUUGCACCAUCU
Molecule: RNA transcript, 3905 nt
Organism: Melanotaenia boesemani (Boeseman's rainbowfish)
Lineage: Eukaryota; Metazoa; Chordata; Actinopteri; Atheriniformes; Melanotaeniidae
Gene name: F-box only protein 40
Exons: 2
Source: RefSeq, a predicted model, not a curated record